RNAcentral lists this ribosomal RNA (460 nucleotides) under uncultured bacterium. Its description in RNAcentral is "partial 16S ribosomal RNA". It matches the Rfam family "Bacterial small subunit ribosomal RNA", at positions 338 to 795 of the family's 1533-position model. The record is from RNAcentral.
CCUACGGGAUGCAGCAGUGAGGAAUAUUGGUCAAUGGGCUUACGCCUGAACCAGCCAAGUCGCGUGAGGGAAGACUGCCCUAUGGGUUGUAAACCUCUUUUGUCAGGGAGCAACGCCGGCGACGUGUAGCCGGACUGAGAGUACCUGAAGAAAACGCAUCGGCCAACUCCGCGCCAGCAGCCGCGGUAAUACGGAGGAGGCGGGCGUUAUCCGGAGUUAUUGGGUUUAAAGUGUGCGUAGGCGGAAUGCCAAGUCAGCGGUAAAAUCGCGGGGCUCAACCUCGAUCCGCCGUUGAAACUGGCGUUCUUGAGUGGGCGAGAAGUAUGCGGAAUGCGUGGUGGAGCGGUGAAAUGCAUAGAUAUCACGCAGAACUCCGGUUGCGGAGGCAGCAUACCGGCGCCCAACUGACGCUGAAGCACGAAAGCGUGGGUAUCGAACAGGAUUAGAUACCCGGGUAGUC